This is a ribosomal RNA of Ochotona princeps (American pika), 108 nucleotides long. The record is from Ensembl. NCBI's taxonomy places the organism in Eukaryota, Metazoa, Chordata, Mammalia, Lagomorpha, Ochotonidae.
GUCUACGGCCAUACCACCCUGAACGCGCCCGAUCUCGUCUGAUCUCGGAAGCUAAGCAGGGUCGGGCCUGGUUAGUACUUGAAUGGGAGAAAGGUAGAAUCACAGAGA